This is a long non-coding RNA of Raphanus sativus (radish), 395 nucleotides long. RefSeq lists it as uncharacterized. The record is from RefSeq and is a predicted model, not a curated record. Lineage: Eukaryota; Viridiplantae; Streptophyta; Magnoliopsida; Brassicales; Brassicaceae. The transcript has 5 exons.
CAGAAAUAAAUCGAAAAAAGAAAAUCCCGAUGGCGAUUAACUUUCCACGGUGAUCUGAUCGACUGGUUCUUCUCCGAUCUACACAGACUCUGUUCCAUUGUUAUUUCUCUGUGAUGUGUUCGAAGAGGAUAUCAAGAGAGCUCCGAAAAAACAUAUGUAAUUUACAGGAGCCAUCCUGGACAGGACCAAAGACAGUAACUGCAAGCUGAAGCUCUCACAAGUCUAUCCAACUCUAAUUCAGUGCUUGGCUGUGUGCAUAAAUAUCACUGAUGCUCUCAGAAGUCCAUCCUGAACUGUUCUCUCCCAUAUUCCUAUACAUCAGAAAGAACUGAUGGGUCCUGCAAUGGUUGACUUCUCCAAAUGAUACAAAAGAGAAGAAGCAAAUAUGAGAAGGU